AGAACGGGCGGCAGCUUACACAUGCAGUCGAGCGGAACGAUACCAGCUUGCUGGUAGGCGUCGAGCGGCGGACGGGUGAGUAAUACUUAGGAAUCUACCUAGUAGUGGGGGAUAGCUCGGGGAAACUCGAAUUAAUACCGCAUACGACCUACGGGAGAAAGGGGGCAGUUUACUGCUCUCGCUAUUAGAUGAGCCUAAGUCGGAUUAGCUAGAUGGUGGGGUAAAGGCCUACCAUGGCGACGAUCUGUAGCUGGUCUGAGAGGAUGAUCAGCCACACCGGGACUGAGACACGGCCCGGACUCCUACGGGAGGCAGCAGUGGGGAAUAUUGGACAAUGGGGGAAACCCUGAUCCAGCCAUGCCGCGUGUGUGAAGAAGGCCUUUUGGUUGUAAAGCACUUUAAGCAGUGAAGAAGACUCCUCGGUUAAUACCCGUGGACGAUGACAUUAGCUGCAGAAUAAGCACCGGCUAACUCUGUGCCAGCAGCCGCGGUAAUACAGAGGGUGCAAGCGUUAAUCGGAAUUACUGGGCGUAAAGCGAGCGUAGGUGGCUUGAUAAGUCAGAUGUGAAAUCCCCGGGCUUAACCUGGGAACUGCAUCUGAAACUGUUAGGCUAGAGUAGGUGAGAGGAAGGUAGAAUUCCAGGUGUAGCGGUGAAAUGCGUAGAGAUCUGGAGGAAUACCGAUGGCGAAGGCAGCCUUCUGGCAUCAUACUGACACUGAGGCUCGAAAGCGUGGGUAGCAAACAGGAUUAGAUACCCUGGUGGUCCACGCCGUAAACGAUGUCUACUAGUCGUUGGGUCCCUUGAGGACUUAGUGACGCAGCUAACGCAAUAAGUAGACCGCCUGGGGAGUACGGCCGCAAGGUUAAAACUCAAUGAAUUUGACGGGGGCCCGCACAAGCGGUGGAGCAUGUGUUUAAUUCGAUGCAACGCGAGACCUUACCUGGUCCUGACUAUCUAGAAUCCUGCAGAGAUGCGGGAGUGCCUUCGGGAUUAGAUACAGGUGCUGCAUGGCUGUCGUCAGCCUCGUGUCGU
RNAcentral lists this ribosomal RNA (1034 nucleotides) under uncultured bacterium. RNAcentral describes it as "bacterial SSU rRNA". It matches the Rfam family "Bacterial small subunit ribosomal RNA", at positions 30 to 1068 of the family's 1533-position model. The record is from RNAcentral.